CACUAGAUUGUGGUGUAAUUAUCAGAGAGGAACAGGAAAUGGAGAGAAAAGCAACUUGCACAGAGCAAGAAAUACACGGAAAGAAAGCAGAAUGGAACUAUGUGCAAUGAACAAGAAAAGAGACCUUGGAUUAUACCCAUGCAAGAAAGUGUGGCCUGUGACCUCCAUUGCUUUGUAAUUGCAGGGUGAGGAAAUAUGACUCAGCAAAAUAUUUUAUUUCUGGUGAAUUCAAACAACAAACUAUCUCUAUGCACCUAAGAAGGGGAGAUCAGGAACAAGCAAACAGCAGAGUCAGACAAUCUCCAUUGCCUUUGUUUGGCUUCCAGAAAAUCAGUGUUCGAGCUGGGCAGGAGGAAGAGAUAAGCCAAUGGCUUCCUCUCCGAGAUCAUUAGCCUGGCGAGUCGGGAGAAGGCAAACAGCAGUGCAAGAGUUCAUGCUCUUGCCACUGGGCUGCAGUCUGACACCAUCUUGCUUUUUCUCAUGGAGGCCACUGAACAUGCUCUGUGCCUCCACGACGUUCUGUCCUGAGCUAAAUCCGGCAUGUUACAAGGUAGGAUGUCAGUGAGGGACAGGUGUCUGUUGACACUGUCUGGCCAUUGUGUUUUAGGUAUUCCGGUAUAUCGCUUUCAUUGGGUCAAAGUUGAAGAUAAUUCUCACAGGAAGUCAGUAGGCAUUCGGCGCAGCUGGCCAUGCCAUCACAGAGAGCGUCGGGUGACCGUUUGAGAGAGCGGGACUUGUUAUGUUAGAAAAUGGAUCUCUUCAUUUGACUUGAAUUUCUGCCAUUUGAUUUAAUCUUUCAGAGACGCUUGGUAGUGAGGGGUAUGUUUCAGUCUCACAGGGCAGAUUGCUGACCACCAACGCAUUAUAUAGCCUUGGCUUCAUCUCUCUAUGGAUCAGGAUGUUCAAUUUGCAAAAGAUGUUCUUAAUGGGGAGCCCCAUUGCUGACAAUGCUUUUGCAGUGUGGCCUUCAAGUUGUUUCUCAUUGCCACCCACGUAAUCAACAACAGAGCCAAGGAGGGUGAAAUUAUUGACAAUCUCAACUGGGUGGUCGCUCACUAAUAGGCUAGAGCCCCUGGCAUAUUCAUGUUCAACCAGAAGAAUUUUGGUUUUACCCCAGUUAAUUUUCAGGGUGACUUUUGCCACUGAGCUUCCCAGGGCUUUAAGAACCACAACUAGCUCGUCCAUUGGUUCCACAACUAGUGCUAUGUCAUUAGCAAAGUCAGUGUUGGUGAGGUUCUUAUCAUCAAGGCAGAUGUGUAAAAUGUAUUUAAUUAGUGUCUCAUCAAGCAAGCAGUCUAUGAUGGCAUUGAAGAGUUCUGGGGCAGCAAAACGUCCUUGCUGAAUGCCCGACCUAAUUCAGAAGACCGCGGUUCUUUUCCCAUUUACAAGAAUGCAGCUUGAGGAGUCAUCAUAUAGGAGCUGGACCAUUCUACAAGGAGGCUGAACAUUCAGGAGGGAUCGUUCAAUAUCUCAGGAAAAGUACUUGAUGCUUCAGGACCUCCAGACACAAAAGGUUCUUCACUGGCAAUAAAGAGUAUCUUACUCUUUGUCAAAGCACCAGCUGUCACCCAUGAUCCAGAAGCGAAGGACCCAGAAUACCCUGGUCACCACCUUUUCAUGGGGAAGAGAAAACUGUGUUCCUGGUCACCUUGCCAGAGCACCAGUUUCAGGCCCAGGGCUAAGGACUGACAAAGCCGAGGAGAUGGUGCUCUCUCAUAAAGACGAUCCAUUCCCAUCAGAUGGCACAGUGUGAGGAACCCUACAACGUUGUUGCUUGUUCCAUGACUAGAGGACAACAGUCUCCUGGAGGGUCACUCUAGCUUCUCUCACCGGGACUAAUUUCCCCUGGAUUUCUUGUGCUAAUACGUGCCAGUUUGUAGCAUUACACACACUCUGCAUGCCUGCACGAAGAAUGUCUGGCAAUCUCCGUUAUGGCUAGAUCCAAGUAGAUAAUUGGGAGCUGAUACUUAAUUAGUCAAACUUUGCCUCAUUUUCUGUUUGGAAAAUGCUGACGCACAUAUUUCCAAAUGUCUCACAUCUUGUUACUUGACAUUAUCCAUGGAUUUCUUUGUGAAUGUUUCCCUUCUACCAAGAGCUCACAGUCUGCUGUGAAUAUUCAAUAUUAGAAUCUGAACAUCCUUGCUGCAUUGCUUAGUUAAAUAAGUCACAUGGUUUAGCUUCUCUUCCAUGAUUGGAUGAUUUAUAUAACUAACGUUACAAUCACAUGCACAAUUCGCACAAUUUGCAAUUUGCUUUGAGUGAAUAAUUGAGGUUCAAAUAUACUUUUCACACAUAUUUGUCCUAGUACAGCUCAGUUUGUAGAUUUGCUGUAUUGAAAACUGUGUAGAAAAAUGACAAGCUAUCACUUUAAAUUUCAGGGGGUUUCCUGGCCU
Molecule: long non-coding RNA, 2393 nt
Organism: Trachemys scripta elegans
Lineage: Eukaryota; Metazoa; Chordata; Testudines; Emydidae
Exons: 5
Source: RefSeq, a predicted model, not a curated record